UAGGGAAUCUUCCACAAUGGACGCAAGUCUGAUGGAGCAACGCCGCGUGAGUGAAGAAGGUUUUCGGAUCGUAAAGCUCUGUUGUUGGUGAAGAAGGAUAGAGGUAGUAACUGGCCUUUAUUUGACGGUAAUCAACCAGAAAGUCACGGCUAACUACGUGCCAGCAGCCGCGGUAAUACGUAGGUGUCAAGCGUUGUCCGGAUUUAUUGGGCGUAAAGCGAGCGCAGGCGGAAGAAUAAGUCUGAUGUGAAAGCCCUCGGCUUAACCGAGGAACUGCAACGGAAACUGUUUUUCUUGAGUGCAGAAGAGGGGAGUGGAAUUCCAUGUGUAGCGGUGGAAAGCGUAGAUAUAUGGAAGAACAACAGUGGCGAAGGCGACUCUCUGGUAUGCAACUGACGCUGAGGCUCGAAAGCAUGGGUAGCGAACAGG
This 429-nucleotide ribosomal RNA is filed under the name Bacillota bacterium. RNAcentral describes it as "Firmicutes bacterium partial 16S ribosomal RNA". It matches the Rfam family "Bacterial small subunit ribosomal RNA", at positions 355 to 776 of the family's 1533-position model. The record is from RNAcentral. Lineage: Bacteria; Bacillati; Bacillota.